This is a long non-coding RNA of Oncorhynchus nerka (sockeye salmon), 645 nucleotides long. RefSeq lists it as uncharacterized. Lineage: Eukaryota; Metazoa; Chordata; Actinopteri; Salmoniformes; Salmonidae. The transcript has 3 exons. The record is from RefSeq and is a predicted model, not a curated record.
CAGAUCUCCAGGCUCAAAGCGUCAGUCCACCAGCUGAAUACUCAGUCAGACUGGUGGAUGGGACCACUUCCUGUUCUGGGACAGUGGAAGUCUUCUACAGAGGAGAGUGGACAGGUGUAUGUACUAGGUGGUGGGACAUGAUGAGAGAGACCAAGGUUGUGUGUAGAGAGCUGAACUGUGGGAAUGUUGUAGCUGAAUCUAUAGGACCUCUGAUUGAAGAUGGAAGAAGAGGAGUCAGACUAUUUGGUUGCUAUGGAGAUGAGUCUUCUAUUAGACAGUGUGACAUCAUAGGAGGAAGAGCUGGUUUCUGUGAUGGUAGAUAUUAUCAUCAUGUGAUCUGUUCAGAGUCUGUGCGGCUUGUGGAUGGAGCUGGUCUCUGCUCUGGGAGAGUGGAGGUGAAGUCCAAUCAGUCCUGGGCCUCAGUGUGUGAAGCUGACUUUGACCGGCAGGAUGCAGAGGUAGUCUGUAGGGAUGUUGGCUGUGGGGCUCCUGCAGCUCUACAGGGGGGGCUCUAUGGAGAAGGUGAGGGUCAGACCUGGGAUAAAGAGUUCCAGUGUAAAGGCAAAGAGUCCCUUCUCCUGGACUGUGACACCUCAGACAGAAAACACAACACCUGCCUACCUGGUAAUGCUGUUGGACUCACCU